UACAGAGACUGCAAGCGUUAUUCGGAUUCACUGGGCGUAAAGGGUGCGCAGGCGGCCAAGUGUGUCAGAUGUGAAAUCCCGAGGCUCAACCUCGGAACUGCGUCUGAAACUACUUGGCUAGAGUAUUGGAGAGGGUAACGGAAUUCACGGUGUAGCAGUGAAAUGCGUAGAUAUCGUGAGGAACACCAGAGGCGAAGGCGGUUACCUGGACAAUUACUGACGCUCAGGCACGAAAGCGUGGGGAGCGAUCCGG
This 253-nucleotide ribosomal RNA is filed under the name uncultured bacterium. Its description in RNAcentral is "partial 16S ribosomal RNA". It matches the Rfam family "Bacterial small subunit ribosomal RNA", at positions 524 to 776 of the family's 1533-position model. The record is from RNAcentral.